GAGACAGCAGUCGCCGCGGUAAUGCGUAGGUCCCGAGCGUUGUCCGGAUUUAUUGGGCGUAAAGCGAGCGCAGGCGGUUAGAUAAGUCUGAAGUUAAAGGCUGUGGCUUAACCAUAGUACGCUCUGGAAACUGUUUAACUUGAGUGCAAGAGGGGAGAGUGGAAUUCCAUGUGUAGCGGUGAAAUGCGUAGAUAUAUGGAGGAACACCGGUGGCGAAAGCGGCUCUCUGGCUUGCAACUGACGCUGAGGCUCGAGAGCGUGGGGAGCAAACAGGAUUAGAGACCCCGGUAGUCCCUGUCUCUUAUACA
RNAcentral lists this ribosomal RNA (308 nucleotides) under uncultured bacterium. Its description in RNAcentral is "partial 16S ribosomal RNA". It matches the Rfam family "Bacterial small subunit ribosomal RNA", at positions 505 to 808 of the family's 1533-position model. The record is from RNAcentral.